UGCCAUCGAAAAAUGGAAUGAUGCGCCUGCCUCCGUACUGCCUAUCAUAAGAAAGCUCAUUAAUGGUGGCAUCAGAGUUUGGGUUUACAGCGGAGACACUGACGGUAGGAUUCCAGUAACCUCAACAAGAUUAACCCUUCGUAAGCUUGGCUUGAACACUACUCAGGAAUGGAAACCUUGGUACAACAGGCAGCAGGUAGGUGGUUGGACAAUCAUCUUUGAUGGACUAACUUUUAUAACAGUUCGAGGUGCUGGGCACCAAGUUCCAACGUUUGCUCCAAGGCAAGCACAGCAGAUUGUAUCACACUUCUUAGCUAAUCAACAAUUGCCUUCAUCCUCGUUUUAGAUUUCAUCGUUCCUCUCAAUUUUCCAUAAUUUGAAACCGUUGUCAAGGGAAUUAAGAUUUAUCUCCCAAUAGCUUGUUUCCAAAAUAAACGUGUUGGUUGUAACUAAAAAGAAUGGAACAGAAAAAGCUUAUUUGGAUGUCUUUUUAGUUGUUA
Long non-coding RNA from Phalaenopsis equestris, 500 nucleotides. RefSeq lists it as uncharacterized. The record is from RefSeq and is a predicted model, not a curated record. The transcript has 3 exons. NCBI's taxonomy places the organism in Eukaryota, Viridiplantae, Streptophyta, Magnoliopsida, Asparagales, Orchidaceae.